This 465-nucleotide ribosomal RNA is filed under the name uncultured bacterium. RNAcentral's name for it is "bacterial SSU rRNA". It matches the Rfam family "Bacterial small subunit ribosomal RNA", at positions 30 to 507 of the family's 1533-position model. The record is from RNAcentral.
AUUGAACGCUGGCGGCAGGCCUAAUACAUGCAAGUCGAACGGUAACAUAAGAGAAGCUUGCUUUUCUUGAUGACGAGUGGCGGACGGGUGAGUAAGAUUUGGGAAACUACCUGAUAGAGGGGGACAACAGUUGGAAACGACUGCUAAUACCGCAUACAGCCUCAGGGUGAAAGAAGCGAUUCGCUAUCAGAUGUGCCCAAACGGGAUUAGCUAGUAGGUGAGGUAAAGGCUCACCUAGGCGACGAUCUCUAGCUGGUCUGAGAGGAUGAUCAGCCACAGUUGGGACUGAGACACGGCCCAGACUCCUACGGGAGGCAGCAGGUAGGGAAUAUUGCACAAUGGAAGGAAACUCUGAUGCAGCCAUGCCGCGUGUGUGAAGGAAGGCCGUUCGGGUUAGUAAAGCUACUUUCGGGAGGGGAGGAAAAAAUGACGUUACCCUCAGAAGAAGCACCGGCUAACUCCGUG